GUUGGCUUAGAAGCAGCCAUCAUUUAAAGAAAGCGUAAUAGCUCACUGGUCGAGUCGGCCUGCGCGGAAGAUGUAACGGGGCUAAACCAUGCACCGAAGCUGCGGCAGCGACGCUGAUGCGUUGUUGGGUAGGGGAGCGUUCUGUAAGCCUGUGAAGGUGUGUCGUGAGGCAUGCUGGAGGUAUCAGAAGUGCGAAUGCUGACAUAAGUAACGAUAAAGCGGGUGAAAAGCCCGCUCGCCGGAAGACCAAGGGUUCCUGUCCAACGUUAAUCGGGGCAGGGUGAGUCGACCCCUAAGGCGAGGCCGAAAGGCGUAGUCGAUGGGAAACGGGUUAAUAUUCCCGUACUUGGUGUUACUGCGAAGGGGGGACGGAGAAGGCUAUGUUGGCCGGGCGACGGUUGUCCCGGUUUAAGCGUGUAGGUGUGUGUUCCAGGUAAAUCCGGUUCACUUUAACACUGAGGCGUGACGACGAGGCACUACGGUGCUGAAGCAACAAAUGCCCUGCUUCCAGGAAAAGCCUCUAAGCAUCAGGUAACACGAAAUCGUACCCCAAACCGACACAGGUGGUCAGGUAGAGAAUACCAAGGCGCUUGAGAGAACUCGGGUGAAGGAACUAGGCAAAAUGGUGCCGUAACUUCGGGAGAAGGCAC
RNAcentral lists this ribosomal RNA (650 nucleotides) under Salmonella enterica subsp. enterica serovar Typhimurium. Its description in RNAcentral is "partial 23S ribosomal RNA". It matches the Rfam family "Bacterial large subunit ribosomal RNA", at positions 1100 to 1749 of the family's 2925-position model. Lineage: Bacteria; Pseudomonadati; Pseudomonadota; Gammaproteobacteria; Enterobacterales; Enterobacteriaceae. The record is from RNAcentral.